This is a long non-coding RNA of Quercus robur (English oak), 350 nucleotides long. RefSeq lists it as uncharacterized. The transcript has 2 exons. The record is from RefSeq and is a predicted model, not a curated record. Lineage: Eukaryota; Viridiplantae; Streptophyta; Magnoliopsida; Fagales; Fagaceae.
AGGUACAAGGAGUUUGAACUAAAUAUGGGUGAAAAUAGUUGUAUUGAUCACUGCAUAUCAAAAUAUUGGCAUGUGACUAAUCUAAUCGGCCAGCUGCUAGGUUCAGGUCGGCCCCCAAUGUGAAAUUAAGGCUAUUCUGAAAUUUGCUAUACAUUAGUUACGUGUUUACCUGGCUGGUUGCCAAAGGUUGAUACUGGAAUGAUUUUUGUUUGUAGCAAACUCAAUGAGGUGGUUCCAUUUUGUUUUUUUUUUUUUUUAAAGUAUUGGCGGCAAUUUGAAUUUAUGUUGCUCCUAGAUUUAAGUCAUAAAAUUGUUAGCUCUUCAUAAAUGAAAUAUUAUUCUUGGAAAAA